CCCCAAAUAACCAGACUCUCUCCUUCAAGUUAAGGGGUGAGAAGGAAGCAGAGGUGAGGUGUGAUCACAUUAAUGAGAGUGUGGGCGAUUCUGAAGGGAGGAGG
Salarias fasciatus (jewelled blenny) is the source of this 104-nucleotide long non-coding RNA. RefSeq lists it as uncharacterized. The record is from RefSeq and is a predicted model, not a curated record. Lineage: Eukaryota; Metazoa; Chordata; Actinopteri; Blenniiformes; Blenniidae. The transcript is spliced from 3 exons.